CUGUGAAGAUGCAGUGUACCCGCGGCAAGACGGAAAGACCCCGUGAACCUUUACUAUAGCUUGACACUGAACAUUGAGCCUUGAUGUGUAGGAUAGGUGGGAGGCUUUGAAGUGUGGACGCCAGUCUGCAUGGAGCCGACCUUGAAAUACCACCCUUUAAUGUUUGAUGUUCUAACGUGGACCCGUAAUCCGGGUUGCGGACAGUGUCUGGUGGGUAGUUUGACUGGGGCGGUCUCCUCCUAAAGAGUAACGGAGGAGCACGAAGGUUGGCUAAUCCUGGUCGGACAUCAGGAGGUUAGUGCAAUGGCAUAAGCCAGCUUGACUGCGAGCGUGACGGCGCGAGCAGGUGCGAAAGCAGGUCAUAGUGAUCCGGUGGUUCUGAAUGGAAGGGCCAUCGCUCAACGGAUAAAAGGUACUCCGGGGAUAACAGGCUGAUACCGCCCAAGAGUUCAUAUCGACGGCGGUGUUUGGCACCUCGAUGUCGGCUCAUCACAUCCUGGGGCUGAAGUAGGUCCCAAGGGUAUGGCUGUUCGCCAUUUAAAGUGGUACGCGAGCUGGGUUUAGAACGUCGUGAGACAGUUCGGUCCCUAUCUGCCGUGGGCGCUGGAGAACUGAGGGGGGCUGCUCCUAGUACGAGAGGACCGGAGUGGACGCAUCACUGGUGUUCGGGUUGUCAUGCCAAUGGCACUGCCCGGUAGCUAAAUGCGGAAGAGAUAAGUGCUGAAAGCAUCUAAGCACGAAACUUGCCCCGA
Molecule: ribosomal RNA, 752 nt
Filed under: Salmonella enterica
Lineage: Bacteria; Pseudomonadati; Pseudomonadota; Gammaproteobacteria; Enterobacterales; Enterobacteriaceae
Also listed under: 1 other name
Description: partial 23S ribosomal RNA
Rfam family: Bacterial large subunit ribosomal RNA
Source: RNAcentral